GUAGGGGGGGCGAGCGUUAUCCGGAUUUACUGAGCGUAAAGCGCGUGCAGGCGGCUUGGGUAGGGUUGGGACGUGAAAGCUCUUGGCUCAACUGAGAGAGGUCGUUCAAUACCCGCCAAGCUUGAGGACGGAAGAGGGGAGCGGAAUUCCCGGUGUAGUGGUGGAAUGCGUAGAUAUCGGGAGGAACACCCGUGGCGAAGGCGGCUCCCUGGUCCGCACCUGACGCUGAGACGCGAAAGCGUGGGUAGCAAACGGGAUUAGAUACCCCGGUAGUCCACGCCGUAAACGAUGGAUGCUAGGUGUAGGUGGUAUUGACCCCAUCUGUGCCGUAGCUAACGCGUUAAGCAUCCCGCCUGGGGACUACGGCCGCAAGGUUA
Molecule: ribosomal RNA, 377 nt
Filed under: uncultured organism
Description: partial 16S ribosomal RNA
Rfam family: Bacterial small subunit ribosomal RNA
Source: RNAcentral